CAGACGCCGGGAGGGGCCUGCAAAACGUGGCCUGCUUUGUGUCCCGCGUCCGGGAGCCUCCUCAGAGCCCUCUGCGGCCAAGGGGGUCUCCUGACCCCUGCCUGCCCAGCCCGUGUUCGGGGUGGCUUCGUCCGCCAUGCGCCUGGACGAACGGAUGCCGUGGGUGGGAUCCGGUAGGUCGAGGUGAACCGCCUGCUUACGACGUCGCGUCGCGGCUGCUCUUCUGGAGCAGGGGGGUUCUGCCAAGCGAGAAGCUGCUCGAGUGCCUGGUCGUGUGGGAAGGGGUCGGUUGUCACGCGGUGUCCCAGGCGCACGCCGCUCUGGUCACCGCUUGCACUGUUGCUCGCUUCUUUCAGUUGAUCCGCUUUUGGAAAACAUGGUUGCCUUGCAAAAAAAUUAGCCACCGCCAUCAGUUGCAAGAAAGAAAGGAAGUCUAUGGGAAACGAUUCUCUUUUGCCCGAGGUAACCAUAAAAAUUAACACCGUGAAAACAAAGCAGUAAAAACGAGCCACGAACUAAUACGACAGAAGGUAAGACGUACCGCGCAAAGCCAUCUUCAAGGGACGAGGGACGGCGCACAAGCAGGGGCGGGGCAGAGAGAGCAAGAGGCAGAGGGAGACCCAGAACCGGAAGCAGGCUCCAGGCUCCGAGCCGUCAGCACGGAGCCCGACGCGGGGCUCGAACCCACGGACCGGGAGAUCGUGACCCGAGCCGAAGUCGGACGCUGAACCGACUGAGCCACCCAGCGGCCCCGGAGUUUGGUUUUCCUUUGAAAGGAGGGGGUUCUGUGAGAAACGAGCCAAACACAUUAGGGAACGUGUGAGCCAGCAUUUUCCAAAUUAAACAUCCAUUCGCAGGUUGUGAAGUGACUGGAGUCGUUGCUACUGGCGUUGUUGUAGCGGAGCCGUAUUAAAAUAUAUUUAUUUUCUAUUUUC
Long non-coding RNA from Neofelis nebulosa (Clouded leopard), 935 nucleotides. RefSeq lists it as uncharacterized. The record is from RefSeq and is a predicted model, not a curated record. NCBI's taxonomy places the organism in Eukaryota, Metazoa, Chordata, Mammalia, Carnivora, Felidae. The transcript has 2 exons.